GGGUCUCUCCUCGGUUAGGCCUAUGGUUAUUGCUGGGGUUGGCUGCUGGGGCGAUGUCCAGCCUCGCUUCUUCUCCCUUAGGUGUGUGUUCACUGGAUUAGGGCUCAGGAUGAGAGUUGACCUUCAUGUCUUCCUGAUGGGCCUCGGUCAGCCCGCCUACAGGGUUGUGCAGCAUGGGCCAUAUAUUCUUCUCGAGUGUGCAGCUUGCUAUGCUGUGGGUUGUGCCCAGCGGGCUGGGUGACUUGGGUCACUAGCCCAUGGGUCCUCUUCAUGCCUUGUCUCAAACAUGCCACCUUCAUCUUCUAGGAUCAAUUUGAAAGCCCAUAACUCAUUAUCAUUGGUGCUUCUUUGGGCCGGUUGUCUCAGUAGCCCAUAAGGCUUCCCAGUCUUGAUGGUAUCGAUGAGCCAUCUUACCUGAUACAAGCUUGCACAAAUUGGAUCCCUGGGCUUCAUGGGAUUUGGCCUUGUCAUGGAAUCUCGACUUCGUUUCCUUGGUCAAGAAUUCUCCCUUGCCUUGUUUUUAAAUUGGUACGAAAUUUGAUGGUUGCUUGUCGCGUAACUGAAAUGCCCUCCUAGGGUCACGUCACCCAUCAUUCUUUAAAAGGAUUUGUCGUCGAAUCCAUCUCACUAUUGCAUAGUGAUAUUGGAUACAACAAGAAAGCUAAAAAGUAGUGGAAGGAGUAAGGAUGGUACUGGGGUGUUGUGGAACACAUGCGCAUGUGGAAUGGCACUAAGGUCUCAACGCCAAAAUUCAUGUUGUCCUACAACACUCGUCUCUACUAUCAAACUCACUCUCUUGGUCAAGUUGAGCGUUGGAGUUGGGAUCCC
RNAcentral lists this long non-coding RNA (828 nucleotides) under Carica papaya (papaya). RNAcentral's name for it is "long non-coding RNA (CPAP_LNC005363)". Lineage: Eukaryota; Viridiplantae; Streptophyta; Magnoliopsida; Brassicales; Caricaceae. The record is from RNAcentral.